GCCCACGGCUCGGCAUCGAGCAGAGGGAAAAGGAGCAAUCCGCUUUGAGAUGGCCUCGCGUCCGAUUAGCUAGUUGGUGAGGUAACGGCCCACCAAGGCGACGAUCGGUAGCCGGACUGAGAGGUUGAACGGCCACAUUGGGACUGAGACACGGCCCAGACUCCUACGGGAGGCAGCAGUGGGGAAUAUUGCACAAUGGGGGAAACCCUGAUGCAGCGACGCCGCGUGGAGGAAGAAGGUCUUCGGAUUGUAAACUCCUGUUGUUGAGGAAGAUAAUGACGGUACUCAACAAGGAAGUGACGGCUAACUACGUGCCAGCAGCCGCGGUAAAACGUAGGUCACAAGCGUUGUCCGGAAUUACUGGGUGUAAAGGGAGCGCAGGCGGGAAGACAAGUUGGAAGUGAAAUCCAUGGGCUCAACCCAUGAACUGCUUUCAAAACUGUUUUUCUUGAGUAGUGCAGAGGUAGGCGGAAUUCCCGGUGUAGCGGUGGAAUGCGUAGAUAUCGGGAGGAACACCAGUGGCGAAGGCGGCCUACUGGGCACCAACUGACGCUGAGGCUCGAAAGUGUGGGUAGCAAACAGGAUUAGAUACCCUGGUAGUCCACACUGUAAACGAUGAUUACUAGGUGUUGGAGGAUUGACCCCUUCAGUGCCGCAGUUAACACAAUAAGUAAUCCACCUGGGGAGUAGGACCGCAAGGUUGAAACUCAAAGGAAUUGACGGGGGCCCGCACAAGCAGUGGAGUAUGUGGUUUAAUUCGACGCAACGCGAAGAACCUUACCAAGUCUUGACAUCCUGCGACGCACAUAGAAAUAUGUGUUUCCUUCGGGACGCAGAGACAGGUGGUGCAUGGUUGUCGUCAGCUCGUGUCGUGAGAUGUUGGGUUAAGUCCCGCAACGAGCGCAACCCUUAUGGUCAGUUACUACGCAAGAGGACUCUGGCCAGACUGCCGUUGACAAAACGGAGGAAGGUGGGGAUGACGUCAAAUCAUCAUGCCCUUUAUGACUUGGGCUACACACGUACUACAAUGGCGUUAAACAAAGAGAAGCAAGACCGCGAGGUGGAGCAAAACUCAGAAACAACGUCCCAGUUCGGACUGCAGGCUGCAACUCGCCUGCACGAAGUCGGAAUUGCUAGUAAUCGCAGAUCAGCAUGCUGCGGUGAAUACGUUCCCGGGCCUUGUACACACCGCCCGUCACACCAUGAGAGCCGGGGGGACCCGAAGUCGGUAGUCUAACCGCAAGGAGGACGCCGCCGAAGGUAAAACUGGUGAUUGGGGUGAAGUCGUAACAAGGUA
This 1297-nucleotide ribosomal RNA is filed under the name metagenome. RNAcentral's name for it is "bacterial SSU rRNA". It matches the Rfam family "Bacterial small subunit ribosomal RNA", at positions 173 to 1498 of the family's 1533-position model. The record is from RNAcentral.